GACGAACGCUGGCGGCGUGCCUAAUACAUGCAAGUAGAACGCUGAAGGAGGAGCUUGCUCUUCUGGAUGAGUUGCGAACGGGUGAGUAACGCGUAGGUAACCUGCCUGGUAGCGGGGGAUAACUAUUGGAAACGAUAGCUAAUACCGCAUAAGAGUAGAUGUUGCAUGACAUUUACUUAAAAGGUGCAAUUGCAUCACUACCAGAUGGACCUGCGUUGUAUUAGCUAGUUGGUGGGGUAACGGCUUACCAAGGCGACGAUACAUAGCCGACCUGAGAGGGUGAUCGGCCACACUGGGACUGAGACACGGCCCAGACUCCUACGGGAGGCAGCAGUAGGGAAUCUUCGGCAAUGGACGGAAGUCUGACCGAGCAACGCCGCGUGAGUGAAGAAGGUUUUCGGAUCGUAAAGCUCUGUUGUAAGAGAAGAACGAGUGUGAGAGUGGAAAGUUCACACUGUGACGGUAGCUUACCAGAAAGGGACGGCUAACUACGUG
This 495-nucleotide ribosomal RNA is filed under the name uncultured bacterium. RNAcentral describes it as "partial 16S ribosomal RNA". It matches the Rfam family "Bacterial small subunit ribosomal RNA", at positions 28 to 507 of the family's 1533-position model. The record is from RNAcentral.